CCUCCCUGCGCGUGACAAGAAAGAAGUUAAAAAGUUGCGCGACAAGAUGAGACAAUGGUAUAUUUAGAAAAGAAAAAGAACGAAAAAGAGAGGAUUUUUCAAAAGCGCUUUAUUUCACUCGUUUCUGAGCAUUUUUAUCUUAUUGUGAUAAUUCUGAAAAACGCUAAAUUGAUAUAUCUUCUAUGUCUGUAUACAAAAUCUGUUUACAACGUUAAUAAAUAGAAGUCAUGAAUCAAAUACAUAGAAAGCUCUGUGCCAUUAAAAUUCAAAAGAAGAUAUUCUAUUGCAUGCAAUAAAAUUCGAAGCAAAAUAUUUGUAAAAAUUUGCUAAUAAAAAAAUACAAAGUUUCAAUUUGCAUCAAGUUAUUAAGUUUAAUUAAUUAUGAACAUUGUGAUGACGAUAACAAAUUUACGUGCACGAGUCUUGUGAAUCUUGAAAUAGUUGAUAAAAAGAAAAUAAUUUCGUUUCGUUUUCAAGAGACAAAAAUCUACAAGUUGACUUAGUUCUACUUAGUUCGCUCGAUCUUCGAAGGAAAAGCAUAAUGUAGCAGUAAUCAUAAUUCAUGAUAAUUCAUGAUCACAUAUAACAUUAUCACCGUCUAAUAACAUCAUUAUUUCUCUUACUUUAAUGCUUUUCUCCUCCUAUAACGCAAAUUGUUUUAUUCAUAAAGGAUAUAUAUUUUGUUACUACAUUCAAUCGUUUAUUUCACCAUUAUUAUGCUCUCUGUUUAGUUUCUUCGCAUAUUUGCCACAUACGAGUACAUUUUUCUCUUUUUUAUUUAAGAUAUAUAGUAUAUCAUAUGAAAGAAAAUAAUAUGAAUAUAUUUAUGUAUGGAUGUCGCUCAUUUUCUUUUCCUUUAUUUUCUCAUUAUUAAAUCCUUCUUAACGGACUUUUGUAUCCUAAUGCGCUAUUCUCAACCUCGAUAACAUUACCGUAUUCUUGGAGAAAGGAAGCUUCUCGUCCCGGAAAUUGCAAGAAUGAUAAAAUCGUAAAACAUCAGCUAUAAUGGAAAGGCGUUUGUUCGUGUGCGAUAAACAUUCCCGCGGCUAUCGGAUAUCGCACUUCUUUUCGUUUGCCGCGCCAAGGUGACUGACACUUGAUUCGAAUUAAAGCUUAAUUGCACAUAUGCCCGAGGCAUUCAGUGAAAGCAAAUGUUGGCACGCUAGGCCUUGAAGAAAGUUGAAAAUUACUAUUUGUAAUUUUUUAUUGCAUUAAAAUGGCAUUACAACUUAGAAAGAUAAAUUUUGUUUGUAUUAAAGUAGAAUAUUCAUACGUUUAUAAAAAUGUACCCUUAUAAAAAUGUAAUACUGUCCAGUACUACAUUUUUAUUUUAGGAACAUACAUUGCGUGUGUGAUAUUAAAGUAUUUCUUGAUUUUCUUAAAUAUUAGAUUGUGUGCUGUGAAUAACACAAAAACAAUGAAUGCAAAAAAAAACUAACUAAAAAGAUGUUAUUGAUAAAAGCCGUCUCGCACGAGAUUCGAAAAUUCCUGGAAAUCUCCUUUCCCUGUUCAUUCCUUUUACUCAUUCAUCUUUAAAAAUGUAUACACAUUACAAUUAUAUUUUAUGAAUUUAAAUAACGUGUACUCUCCCCCCCUCCAUAGUGAAUAUGAUUGUAUGUAUUCACGAGUAACAGUCGAGAUGAAACGAGUUGGUGUGGCUAUUACGAAUUCAGACGUCUAAAAGGUUAAUCGAUAUGUCGAUUACAAUAGGUCGAUGACGACAAACGAGCGAGCACUUGCAACAGGUAGUUUAUUUCCACUCAAUUCGUUGCAACGGACAGGUGCGCACUAGUCAAUGAUCAGUCACUAUUCGACUAUUACAGCUAUUACAGCGCAUGUAAAACUGGAAAAAAAUAUACGACACGAUUAUAAAUUCAGUCGUUCGUAUUAAUGCGAACGUGUCAGUCGUUUAAUACGGAUGAUUCUCUUCACUCGCCUCCUCAACUCUACGUUAAUGCGAGACAACGCUUGCGAGUUUCCGAAUAAGACUUAUCUUUUAUCUCGCCAUAUCAGAGAAUUUAUCUAUACAAAUUUAUCGCUGAACAAAAAAACUUUCAUCACUACGAGUGUUUCUUUUGAGUCGCGUGUGACUAGCAGUUCAUUAAAUUGUCACGCCCUCAAACGUAAUCAGAAAUAUACUAUGAUAAAAUGGUGAUAAAAACGCGCACAUUUUAUUCAAAUCUUGUAUAACAAUUAGUUUACGUGUGACUUUUAUAACCCGUUUACGACUUUAUGACGGAGGUUUUAAGAAAUUGAAACUAAAACAUAAAUUUUAAGCCAAACAGAAUUUGAUAAUGUUGAUCUAAGAUCUAAGAAACUUUAAUGAAAAUUAUGGAUUAACAGUUGUGUCGUAUAUCGAUAUUGUUCGAUGACUGUUGUAUAUGACGCUGGCAAUAAAAGAUUGCUCGAGAUAUUCCUAAAGAAUUCCGUAAGAAGUGAGCGUAAUAGUAUCUUCAGUCUUGCCGACAACUCUUUUUCUUAACGAAUUAUUUGUAAUGUUGUUGUAAUACCGUCAAAAAGUACACGGAAACAUUUUCAUCGAUUUUUGUGGCACGCUGUCGAAAAAUCCGUAAAAUGGAAUGUAAUGUACAAUAGAGAAAGAGCGUGUAAUAUUUUCUAUUCCUAAUGGUCACGCGUCUCUAAAUACGUGCAUACGAUUUUCAUGUAUGUACAUACAGACACAUGAGAAUACGUAUAGGGAAGACGGUCAAGUGUCGAUAUGUUUGCGCGCGUACAUGUGUGUGAAACAAAGUCGACUAUUUUCUCCACGUAACUUUCCCACACUUUCCAUGCUUUGCUCUUGCGAUGCUUCAAGGCACACUCAUGCCUGACCGCUUAGCGCCAUUUCUCUUGGAUAGUCGAUAAAUCUCGAUUGGAUAAGCCGCCUAUAAAAUUUCAACUCGGAGAAAGCAGAACUAAAAAACGAACGAUAUUUUCGAUAUUGAUAUUAUUUCAAUAUUAUGCAAUUAAUUUGUAAAUUAAUUAUUAAAUAUUACUCUAUAUUUUUGAAGAUUCAUAUUUUCUUAAUUUUUAUACUUCUAUAUAUACAAUGUAAUACACACACACACACACACACACACAACUAGGUAAAUAUAUCAAGCAUUUUCAAUUCUUGACUGAAAAUCUUUUCUUCCUAAGAGAUUCCUUCAUCUAGAAAAUUGUUUUUUUAUUUUCAUUAAAAUUUAUUAGCAAAUCUUUCGUCCUAUGACAAUGAUCUCACAUCGAUUUCAGGCUGAUAUUAAUCUAUUAAAUCAAUCGAUAUUAUAAAUCUUUCUUUAAAAAACUUUAGAUUUAUUUAUUAAGCGCGGCAUACAAAUUUCCGAUACGUAAGUUAUUCGGCGUCGCAAAUUUGCAAAAACCAAACAAGUUAUUUUUUUAAACAAUCUUAUAACGCUGAUUAUUUCUAUCAGCAGCGUCAUAGCGUUAUAUCGCGAACAAUUUUGUAUCAUGUAUCGGCAAGAAUUAAAUAAAAAACGAGAAGUAUAACUUGGUACAUAGCAGAUAUAAAAUUUCCGCAAGAAUCAAACAAGUCCAGAGACUUUUUAUCUUUUCUCUUAAUAAAAGUUUAUAACUUUGUUCUCUUAUAUCUAUUAUCUAGAGAUCUAGAGAUCUAGAGAUAAAUUACCACAAAUUUAUAUGAUGAAUGGUUUAAAGAUGAGAAACUUUAUUACUUUUUGAAAAUUCAACUCCUCGAAUUUAUUUGGUUUUCAUAGGAAACUUUUUAAUUGUAAAGUAGCAUAUUUAAAUUAAUAUGAUAUUGCAAGAGAUUCAGUCUACCAUGUCACUACAUUGUCUUGACGAAAUAAAAAAAUCAA
Molecule: long non-coding RNA, 3815 nt
Organism: Monomorium pharaonis (pharaoh ant)
Lineage: Eukaryota; Metazoa; Arthropoda; Insecta; Hymenoptera; Formicidae
Exons: 2
Source: RefSeq, a predicted model, not a curated record